UUUUUCUCUUACCCCUCUCUCCUCGGCUGCUCUCACCACUUCCUCCCUCCCUCUCCGGCUUCCUUCUACCUCCCCUCACUCUCCCCCCUUUCUCGCCUUGCUCAGGGGGACUCGCUAUCUCUUUCUCUGUCUCUCCUUGGAACAGCGGCCCCCAAAAUGCAACUGAAGCCAUUUCCCUGCUCUGAGACCUCGGACAAGUCACUCCCCGCCAGGGCUGCAGUUUCCUGUCUCUAAAAGGAGUUGAUGAGCAGCUCUAGGUGGGGUGGCGAUGGGGGACGCAGGAGGUGCCCCGUGCCUGUGGUCCCCUGUUGAAGUUCACGCCUCCUCAAAUGCAGCGGCCACCCAGCGCUCGCUGGGUGCCAUGUGUGCCCCACAAAACACCUUUCCUCAGCCUCGAGGACAAGUACCAGAGGCCAGUUCCGCGGGAAAAGUUAAUGGUGGUUUCCUCCAGGGUCCCUAAAGCCCCUCCUGAAAAGUGACUGUGGUUCCCCUCCCCCUGUCCUCAGGUUUUGAGUGGGCACAACCUAAGCUGGAUCUGAUAGGCCCUGUCACCUGCUGGUUCCUCCCUGGUUGACACCAAGCAGAGGGGCAAUGCUCUCUCGCUGUCCUUAGACCCAAGCAGGAGAAAAAUCUACCCUCCCUCCUUCCCUCCCCAUUCCCCAUCACACCAUGAUUGGCUUUUAAGCUUCAGGGAUGUUUCCCGGACCGAGUGUGGCUUCAGAGUCAGAGAGAUGUGAGUUCAAGACCACUUGCUUAGGAGGAAGCAAAAGAGGAGGAGAAGGCAGAGGAAGGCGACGACUGAGAACAAAAGAAGAGCAGUGGCAAAGGAGUGGCUUUUGUGGACAAGAUGCGACCACCUCAUGAGGAUCAAGAUGUACUCCUUGCUCUUCUCUGCACAGCAGUCUCAAAACUAGGCUACACCGUCUGUCUCCUCUGGUCACCAUUUUGAGAGGCAGCAAGGGUCUUCCUAACCCUCAGCUCCCUCUGAUUUUUGGAAUUCAGAUUUGGAUUUUGGAUGUACAUCAAGAGGCUGGCUCCACGCAUUUUAAUUAAGUUGUCUUUUUUCAUUUAUUACUAAUACACUCCUCUUAACUAUGAUUUAUUGGUUAAACAAAGCACCAUAAGCCGUCACUUAUUCAUCUUAAUUUCAACAAAAUUAAAGUAGUCGCUGUUAGAUUGCACCUAAUUGCACUUGCAAUGAAAAGAACGGAGAUGUUAAUCAAAAUAAAUUGAAGAUAAACAAUAAAAUCAUUACAUCUUUGCGGU
Molecule: long non-coding RNA, 1266 nt
Filed under: Homo sapiens (human)
Lineage: Eukaryota; Metazoa; Chordata; Mammalia; Primates; Hominidae
Description: HSALNT0155139
Source: RNAcentral